This 410-nucleotide ribosomal RNA is filed under the name uncultured bacterium. RNAcentral's name for it is "bacterial SSU rRNA". It matches the Rfam family "Bacterial small subunit ribosomal RNA", at positions 355 to 775 of the family's 1533-position model. The record is from RNAcentral.
UCGAGAAUCUUCGGCAAUGGGCGCAAGCCUGACCGAGCGACGCCGCGUGUGCGAUGAAGGCCUUCGGGUUGUAAAGCACUGUCGAGGGGGAGAAAGCCGCAAGGUUGAUCGACCCCUGGAGGAAGCACGGGCUAAGUUCGUGCCAGCAGCCGCGGUAAGACGAACCGUGCGAACGUUAUUCGGAAUCACUGGGCUUAAAGGGCGCGUAGGCGGGCUAUCAAGUCAGAGGUGAAAUCCUGCGGCUCAACCGCAGAAGUGCCCCUGAUACUGGUAGUCUCGAGGGAGGUAGGGGCAUGUGGAACUUCCGGUGGAGCGGUGAAAUGCGUAGAUAUCGGAAGGAACGCCGGUGGCGAAAGCGACGUGCUGGACCUCUUCUGACGCUGAGGCGCGAAAGCCAGGGGAGCGAACGG